GAUGAACGCUGGCGGCGUGCCUAAUACAUGCAAGUCGAGCGAACGGACCAGAAGCUUGCGUCUCUGAUGUUAGCGGCGGACGGGUGAGUAACACGUGGAUAACCCACCUAUAAGACUGGGAUAACGUCGGGAAACCGGAGCUAAUACCAGUUGAUAUUUUGAACCUCAUGGUUCAAAAGAGAAAGACGGUCUUGCUGUUACUUACAGAUCGAUCCGCGCUGCAUGAGCUAGAUGGUAAGGUAACGGCUUACAAAGGGAACGAUGCAUAGACCACGUGAGAGGGUGAUAGGCCGGUUGGGAACCGAGACAGGGUCCAGAGGCCUGCGGGAGGCAGCAGUAGGCUAUCGUCCGCAACGGGCGGGAGCCUUGCGGAGCAGGGCAGAGUCUGUGGUGACGGUCCUCGGAGCGGGAAACUCUGUUAUUAGGGAAGAACAUAUGUGUAAGGGGCCGUGCAGAACUUGACGGUACCUGAAGAAAAAGCCACGGCUAACUACGUG
This 497-nucleotide ribosomal RNA is filed under the name uncultured bacterium. RNAcentral's name for it is "partial 16S ribosomal RNA". It matches the Rfam family "Bacterial small subunit ribosomal RNA", at positions 28 to 507 of the family's 1533-position model. The record is from RNAcentral.